RNAcentral lists this RNase P RNA (349 nucleotides) under Candidatus Fimivicinus intestinavium. Its description in RNAcentral is "Bacterial RNase P class A". It matches the Rfam family "Bacterial RNase P class A". From Rfam's summary of the family: Ribonuclease P (RNase P) is a ubiquitous endoribonuclease, found in archaea, bacteria and eukarya as well as chloroplasts and mitochondria. Lineage: Bacteria; Bacillati; Bacillota; Clostridia; Eubacteriales; Oscillospiraceae. The record is from RNAcentral.
AGCAGACUGGGCAGCCGCGCGCCUGUGGAAGAGCUUUUCCCAGGCGUGAGGAAAGUCCGGGCCCCACAGAGCAAGGAUAACGGCUAACGGCCGCCGAGGGUGACCUCAGGGAAAGUGCAACAGAGAGAUACCGCCGGCACCCUGUGCCGGUAAGGGUGGAAAGGCGAGGUAAGAGCUCACCAGCACGCGGGAGACCGCGUGGCUCUGCAAACCCUAUCCGGAGCAACACCGACUGGAGAGACACGCUUGCUCGGCGCAUUCUCCGACGGGUGGCUUGAGCGCCGCGGCAACGCGGCGUCGAGACAGAUGGCUGCCUUUAAGGACAGAACCCGGCUUAGAGGUCUGGUCG